GACGAACGCUGGCGGCGUGCCUAAUACAUGCCAGUUGAGCGCUGAAGGUUGGUACUUGUACCGACUGGAUGAGCAGCGAACGGGUGAGUAACGCGUGGGGAAUCUGCCUUUGAGCGGGGGACAACAUUUGGAAACGAAUGCUAAUACCGCAUAAAAACUUUAAACACAAGUUUUAAGUUUGAAAGAUGCAAUUGCAUCACUCAAAGAUGAUCCCGCUUGUAUUAGCUAGUUGGUGAGGUAAAGGCUCACCAAGGCGAUGAUACAUAGCCGACCUGAGAGGGUGAUCGGCCACAUUGGGACUGAGACACGGCCCAAACUCCUACGGGAGGCAGCAGUAGGGAAUCUUCGGCAAUGGACGAAAGUCUGACCGAGCAACGCCGCGUGAGUGAAGAAGGUUUUCGGAUCGUAAAACUCUGUUGGUAGAGAAGAACGUUGGUGAGAGUGGAAAGCUCAUCAAGUGACGGUAACUACCCAGAAAGGGACGGCUAACUACGUG
This 496-nucleotide ribosomal RNA is filed under the name uncultured bacterium. Its description in RNAcentral is "partial 16S ribosomal RNA". It matches the Rfam family "Bacterial small subunit ribosomal RNA", at positions 28 to 507 of the family's 1533-position model. The record is from RNAcentral.